This 395-nucleotide ribosomal RNA is filed under the name uncultured bacterium. RNAcentral describes it as "bacterial SSU rRNA". It matches the Rfam family "Bacterial small subunit ribosomal RNA", at positions 505 to 898 of the family's 1533-position model. The record is from RNAcentral.
GUGUCAGCAGCCGCGGUAAUACGUAGGUGACGAGCGUUGUCCGGAUUUACUGGGCGUAAAGAGCGCGCAGGCGGUCGUACAAGUCGAGUGUGAAAUCCCCCGGCUCAACUGGGGAAAGUCGCUCGAUACUGUUCGACUCGAAGGCGGGAGAGGGAUGUGGAAUUCCCGGUGUAGUGGUGAAAUGCGUAGAUAUCGGGAGGAACACCAGUGGCGAAGGCGACAUCCUGGCCCGUUCUUGACGCUGAGGCGCGAAAGCUAGGGGAGCAAACGGGAUUAGAUACCCCGGUAGUCCUAGCCGUAAACGAUGGACACUAGGUGUUGGUGGUAUCAACCCCGCCAGUGCCGAAGCUAACGCAUUAAGUGUCCCGCCUGGGGAGUACGGCCGCAAGGCUAAA